GUAGGUGGCAAGCGUUGUCCGGAAUUAUUGGGCGUAAAGCGCGCGCAGGCGGUCCUUUAAGUCUGAUGUGAAAGCCCACGGCUCAACCGUGGAGGGUCAUUGGAAACUGGGGGACUUGAGUACAGAAGAGGAAAGCGGAAUUCCACGUGUAGCGGUGAAAUGCGUAGAGGUGUGGAGGAACACCAGUGGCGAAGGCGGCUUUCUGGUCUGUAACUGACGCUGAGGCGCGAAAGCGUGGGGAGCAAACAGGAUUAGAUACCCUGGUAGUCCACGCCGUAAACGAUGAGUGCUAAGUGUUAGGGGGUUUCCCGCCCCCCUUAGUGCUGCAGCUAACGCAUUAAGCACUCCGCCUGGGGGAGUACGGCCGCAAGGCUG
RNAcentral lists this ribosomal RNA (375 nucleotides) under uncultured organism. RNAcentral describes it as "partial 16S ribosomal RNA". It matches the Rfam family "Bacterial small subunit ribosomal RNA", at positions 527 to 896 of the family's 1533-position model. The record is from RNAcentral.